This 1413-nucleotide ribosomal RNA is filed under the name Dickeya dadantii. RNAcentral's name for it is "bacterial SSU rRNA". It matches the Rfam family "Bacterial small subunit ribosomal RNA". Lineage: Bacteria; Pseudomonadati; Pseudomonadota; Gammaproteobacteria; Enterobacterales; Pectobacteriaceae. The record is from RNAcentral.
GGCGGCAGGGCUAACACAUGCAAGUCGAGCGGCAGCGGGGGGAAGCUUGCUUCCCCGCCGGCGAGCGGCGGACGGGUGAGUAAUGUCUGGGGAUCUGCCUGAUGGAGGGGGAUAACUACUGGAAACGGUAGCUAAUACCGCAUAACGUCGCAAGACCAAAGUGGGGGACCUUCGGGCCUCACGCCAUCGGAUGAACCCAGAUGGGAUUAGCUAGUAGGUGAGGUAACGGCUCACCUAGGCGACGAUCCCUAGCUGGUCUGAGAGGAUGACCAGCCACACUGGAACUGAGACACGGUCCAGACUCCUACGGGAGGCAGCAGUGGGGAAUAUUGCACAAUGGGGGAAACCCUGAUGCAGCCAUGCCGCGUGUGUGAAGAAGGCCUUCGGGUUGUAAAGCACUUUCAGCGGGGAGGAAGGGGACAAGGUUAAUAACCUUGUUCAUUGACGUUACCCGCAGAAGAAGCACCGGCUAACUCCGUGCCAGCAGCCGCGGUAAUACGGAGGGUGCAAGCGUUAAUCGGAAUGACUGGGCGUAAAGCGCACGCAGGCGGUCUGUUAAGUUGGAUGUGAAAUCCCCGGGCUUAACCUGGGAACUGCAUUCAAAACUGACAGGCUAGAGUCUCGUAGAGGGGGGUAGAAUUCCAGGUGUAGCGGUGAAAUGCGUAGAGAUCUGGAGGAAUACCGGUGGCGAAGGCGGCCCCCUGGACGAAGACUGACGCUCAGGUGCGAAAGCGUGGGGAGCAAACAGGAUUAGAUACCCUGGUAGUCCACGCUGUAAACGAUGUCGAUUUGGAGGUUGUGCCCUUGAGGCGUGGCUUCCGGAGCUAACGCGUUAAAUCGACCGCCUGGGGAGUACGGCCGCAAGGUUAAAACUCAAAUGAAUUGACGGGGGCCCGCACAAGCGGUGGAGCAUGUGGUUUAAUUCGAUGCAACGCGAAGAACCUUACCUACUCUUGACAUCCAGCGAACCCUGUAGAGAUGCGGGGGUGCCUUCGGGAACGCUGAGACAGGUGCUGCAUGGCUGUCGUCAGCUCGUGUUGUGAAAUGUUGGGUUAAGUCCCGCAACGAGCGCAACCCUUAUCCUCUGUUGCCAGCACUUCGGGUGGGAACUCAGGGGAGACUGCCGGUGAUAAACCGGAGGAAGGUGGGGAUGACGUCAAGUCAUCAUGGCCCUUACGAGUAGGGCUACACACGUGCUACAAUGGCGCAUACAAAGAGAAGCGACCUCGCGAGAGCAAGCGGACCUCAUAAAGUGCGUCGUAGUCCGGAUUGGAGUCUGCAACUCGACUCCAUGAAGUCGGAAUCGCUAGUAAUCGUAGAUCAGAAUGCUACGGUGAAUACGUUCCCGGGCCUUGUACCCACCGCCCGUCACACCAUGGGAGUGGGUUGCAAAAGAAGUAGGUAGCCUAACCU